Molecule: unclassified non-coding RNA, 424 nt
Filed under: soil metagenome
Description: partial contains 5.8S ribosomal RNA, internal transcribed spacer 2, and large subunit ribosomal RNA
Rfam family: 5.8S ribosomal RNA (bases 1-120)
Source: RNAcentral
GAUGAAGAACGUAGCGAAAUGCGAUACGUAAUGUGAAUUGCAGAAUUCAGUGAAUCAUCGAAUCUUUGAACGCAUAUUGCGCUCUCUGGUAUUCCGGAGAGCAUGCUUGUUUGAGUAUCAGUAAACACCUCAACUCCCUUUCUUCUUGAAAUGGAGCUGGACUUGAGUGAUCCCAACGCUUUAUUCAUAAAGUGGCGGGUUACUUGAAAUGCAGGUGCAGCUGGACUUUUCUCUGAGCUAUAAGCAUAUCUAUUUAGUCUGCCUCAAAACAGAUCAUUACCUUUGCUGCAGCUAACAUAAAGGAGAUUAGUUCUUGUGCUGACUGAUGCAGGAUUCACAAAGACCGCUUCGGCUGUCUUUGUAAACUCGAUCUCAAAUCAAGUAAGACUACCCGCUGAACUUAAGCAUAUCAAUAAGCGGAGGA